RNAcentral lists this ribosomal RNA (266 nucleotides) under uncultured bacterium. RNAcentral describes it as "partial 16S ribosomal RNA". It matches the Rfam family "Bacterial small subunit ribosomal RNA", at positions 88 to 354 of the family's 1533-position model. The record is from RNAcentral.
UGGGUUAGUGGCGGACGGGUGAGUAACGCGUGGAUAACCUGCCGUAUACAGGGGGAUAACACUUAGAAAUAGGUGCUAACACCGCAUAAGCGCACGGUUCCGCAUGGAACAGUGUGAAAAACUCCGGUGGUAUACGAUGGAUCCGCGUCUGAUUAGCCAGUUGGCGGGGUAACGGCCCACCAAAGCGACGAUCAGUAGCCGGCCUGAGAGGGUGAACGGCCACAUUGGGACUGAGACACGGCCCAAACUCCUACGGGAGGCAGCAG